Molecule: non-coding RNA, 72 nt
Organism: Nippostrongylus brasiliensis
Lineage: Eukaryota; Metazoa; Nematoda; Chromadorea; Rhabditida; Heligmosomidae
Source: Rfam
GUCUCAGUAGCAUAGUGGUUAGUGCACAGCCCCGGACAGGUUCAGACGCCGGUUCGAUUCCCGCAUGGGAUG